Molecule: long non-coding RNA, 1708 nt
Organism: Gasterosteus aculeatus aculeatus (three-spined stickleback)
Lineage: Eukaryota; Metazoa; Chordata; Actinopteri; Perciformes; Gasterosteidae
Source: Ensembl
GCCGGACGUCAGAAUAACAAGUGGCGUUGUUGGAUCUCAGCGUGUUCAGGAAUUGCUAUCCGAACAUGAAUGGGUUCACCUUGAUGCUGCUGUUUGCUGCUCAGUGCUUUCCAGCGGAAACAAAUCGGCACAGCUCUUUUUCUGCAGUAUUCCAGGAUGUGGCUCUAAUGUGACCCACGUGUUUUGCAACGACGAGUCGCUCCUCAGUGAUGGUCCCAUCCCGAACUGUACCGGGCCUCCACCCCCCAAUACUGUCUGCCAGCACAAGGGCUUCGCAUUCGCCUCCACCGAUUCAGAUGCUGGCUGUGAUUUUGAAGGGAAAGACGGUCUUAUUGAGUCGGGAAAAUGUACAGGUGCUUACAUGUGCUUUCCAAAGGAUGACAUAUAUUAUGGUCGUCUCUCAGUCAUUCCCCCUACGUGCAAAGUUAGCCAUUUUCUGCUGCUGUCCGCUUUGUUGUUGCUUCAUCACUGCAGCUCGGCGUGUUAUUUGUUAAUAAUUUUGCAUUGGAGGGAAGUUCUUUUACUCCACAUUGGUAAACUUUUACAACCAAAUAGUGGUCGUUUAAUGUCUCUGUGGACACCUUUUGCUUACUUUUGGUGCAUUUUUCACAAGAUGCAACACAAAACAACCUUGAUUAGAUUCUGGGAUUUAAUUUAUUCCUAUUGAAAUGUAUCUGUCUGAUAUAUAUUGACGAUCAUUUAGAAUUUCACAUAAUUUAAUAUAUUUUCUGUUGUCCAAUGACUGAUGCAAUUCUGUCUUGUAUACAAGUGACAUUUCUCUUGUUUCCUCUACUAGACAACAGCAGCAUCUGUGCUUCUCUUCACCGUGGUGAGUUUUUGUGCAGAUACACUUUACCACUUUAUCAUGUUGCCAACGGAUUUUAUUGACCUCAACAGGAUUUCAUCGUCCAUCGCUGACCACUGCCUUUCCUCUAGUCAACGCUACAUCACAAGUCCCCACAAGGGGGCGUUAUGGAUUAAUUGUUGAAGGUGUAAUUUUAGGUCUGCUGAUCGUAGGAAUAGGAAUAGCAAGAAGAGUCUCUUAUAGACGCUCACAGCAGGAUUCAGCAAGUAACGCUGCUGUGACUGAACCGCUGAGACAGAUGGAAGGUCCCGAAGGAAUCAGUGAUAGUGAUACUGCUGGAUUGGAAGAUGGCGGUUCUACUUCCCACCAGGAGAGUGGAGUUUAAACAACUGCAGCUUCAUCAUCUUUGUUGUAUUUUUCUCAUUUUUUUCUCAAGAUAUCUCAUGGGGUUGUUUUUUUUUUAAAUGUAGCACAAACAUCCAUGAACUGAUUAGGUUUUUGUGGUUAAAGGUCAACGUGAAAUCAGCCCCAUUAUUACAAACACAAUAUCUCAGGAACACCUUAAGAGAGUUUCUGGACUGCAGGAUGAAGUCAUACGGUUUUUGCAAUCAAAAGGUCACUGUGAAAAAUGUUUAUUUAAUCUUUAUCCUUAUUUAAGGCCACGAGUCGCAUCAAUAAACUUAUACAGAUAAUUUUGCAAACACGUCCAGUAGAAUAACAUGAUGAAGUAAUGCCAUUUUGGACAGACCCUGGUGAAGAAUGUUUAUGCGGUAGUUUUUCCUAUUUUUGAAAUCAACAUGACAUCUGUUUUAGAAGUGUUCCUUUUAGUGCAAGCCUCCCCCACUUCCUGUAUAUUAUCAUUACUAUUAUAUUAUGUACAAUAAACUCAGAUGCAAAUUAAAA